This 482-nucleotide ribosomal RNA is filed under the name uncultured bacterium. RNAcentral describes it as "partial 16S ribosomal RNA". It matches the Rfam family "Bacterial small subunit ribosomal RNA", at positions 30 to 507 of the family's 1533-position model. The record is from RNAcentral.
AUUGAACGCUGGCGGCAUGCUUUACACAUGCAAGUCGAACGGUAACAGGCCGCAAGGUGCUGACGAGUGGCGAACGGGUGAGUAAUGCAUCGGAACGUGCCCAGUCGUGGGGGAUAACUACUCGAAAGAGUAGCUAAUACCGCAUACGAUCUAUGGAUGAAAGCGGGGGACCGUAAGGCCUCGCGCGAUUGGAGCGGCCGAUGUCAGAUUAGGUAGUUGGUGGGGUAAAGGCUCACCAAGCCAACGAUCUGUAGCUGGUCUGAGAGGACGACCAGCCACACUGGGACUGAGACACGGCCCAGACUCCUACUGGAGGCAGCAGUGGGGAAUUUUGGACAAUGGGCGCAAGCCUGAUCCAGCAAUGCCGCGUGCAGGAAGAAGGCCUUCGGGUUGUAAACUGCUUUUGUACGGAACGAAACGGCUCUGGUUAAUACCCGGGGCUAAUGACGGUACCGUAAGAAUAAGCACCGGCUAACUACGUG